CUAUCUUUAGUGGCGGACGGGUGAGUAACGCGUAAGAAUCUUCCCUUUAGAGUGGUAUAACCUUUGGAAACGAUGGUUAAUCCCGCAUACGAGAGUAAUCUUGAAAGAUACAGCAAUGUGUCGCUAAAGGAUGAGCUUGCGUCUGAUUAGCUAGUUGGUGAGGUAAUGGCUCACCAAGGCGAUGAUCAGUAGCUGGUUUGAGAGAACGACUAGCCACACUGGGACUGAGACACGGCCCAGACUCCUACGGGAGGCAGCAGUGGGGAAUUUUUCGCAAUGGGCGCAAGCCUGACGGAGCAAUACUGCGUGGAGGAUGAAGGCUCGUGGGUUGUAAACUCCUUUUCCUAGAAAAGAAAUCAUUGACGGUAUCUAGGGAAUAAGCAUUGGCUAACUACGUGCCAGCAGCUGCGGUAAUACGUGGAAUGCAAGCGUUAUCCGGAUUUAUUGGGCGUAAAGCGUCUGUAGGUGGCUUCGCAAGUUUGCUGUUAAAUUGUUCGGCUCAACCGAAUCCCAGCAGCAAAAACUAUGAAGCUUGAGUGUGGUAGAGGAAAAAGGAAUUCCCUGUGGAGCGGUGAAAUGCGUAGAGAUAGGGAAGAACACCAAUGGCGAAAGCAUUUUUCUGGGCCUGCACUGACACUGAGAGACGAAAGCUAGGGGAGCGAGCGGGAUUAGAUACCCCG
RNAcentral lists this ribosomal RNA (680 nucleotides) under uncultured bacterium. RNAcentral's name for it is "bacterial SSU rRNA". It matches the Rfam family "Bacterial small subunit ribosomal RNA", at positions 86 to 789 of the family's 1533-position model. The record is from RNAcentral.